CCCUAUAUAGUGCACUACUGUUGACCAGAGCCCUAAUUCCUAUAUAGUGCACUACUUUAGACCAGGGCCCUAUUCCCUAUAUAGUGCACUACUUUAGACCAGAGCCCUAUUCCCUAUAUAGUGCACUACUUUAGACCAGAGCCCUAUUCCCUAUAUAGUGCACUACUGUUGACCAGAGCCCUAUUCCCUGUAUAGUGCACUACUAUUGACCAGAGCCCUAUUCCCUAUAUAGUGCACUACUAUUGACCAGAGCCCUAUUCCCUAUAUAGUGCACUACUAUAGACCAGAGCCCUAUUCCCUAUAUAGUGCACUACUGUUGACCAGAGCCCUAUUCCCUAUAUAGUGCACUACUUUAGACCAGAGCCCUACUCCCUAUAUAGUGCACUACUUUAGACCAGAGCCCUGUGGGAAUAGGAUGUAAUUUGGGAUGCUCAUAUUAUCAGAUGCUGUUGUGGUCUACAUCACGUGUCAAACUCAUUCCGCGUCGGGCCGAGCGUCUGCUAAGGAACUCCCUUCACCUGGUUGUCUAGGUUACUAAUUAGUAAGGAACUCCCCUCACCUGGUUGUCUAGGUUACUAAUUAGUAAGGAACUCCCCUCACCUGGUUGUCUAGGUUACUAAUUAGUAAGGAACUCCCCUCACCUGGUUGUCUAGGUCACUAAUUAGUAAGGAACUCCCCUCACCUGGUUGUCUAGGUCACUAAUUAGUAAGGAACUCCCCUCACCUGGUUGUCUAGGUCUCAGUAAGGAACUCCCCUCACCUGGUUGUCUAGGUCUCAGUAAGGAACUCCCCUCACCUGGUUGUCUAGGUCUCAGUAAGGAACUCCCCUCACCUGGUUGUCUAGGUCUCAGUAAGGAACUCCCCUCACCUGGUUGUCUAGGUUACUAAUUAGUAAGGAACUCUCC
RNAcentral lists this long non-coding RNA (904 nucleotides) under Salmo salar (Atlantic salmon). RNAcentral describes it as "lncRNA (ENSSSAG00000092010.1)". The record is from RNAcentral. Lineage: Eukaryota; Metazoa; Chordata; Actinopteri; Salmoniformes; Salmonidae.